Molecule: ribosomal RNA, 468 nt
Filed under: uncultured bacterium
Lineage: Bacteria
Description: partial 16S ribosomal RNA
Rfam family: Bacterial small subunit ribosomal RNA
Source: RNAcentral
GACGAACGCUGGCGGCGUGCUUAACACAUGCAAGUCGAACGGAAAGGCCCUGCUUUUGUGGGGUGCUCGAGUGGCGAACGGGUGAGUAACACGUGAGUAACCUGCCCUUGACUUUGGGAUAACUUCAGGAAACUGGGGCUAAUACCGGAUAGGAGCUCCUGCUGCAUGGUGGGGGUUGGAAAGUUUCGGCGGUUGGGGAUGGACUCGCGGCUUAUCAGCUUGUUGGUGGGGUAGUGGCUUACCAAGGCUUUGACGGGUAGCCGGCCUGAGAGGGUGACCGGCCACAUUGGGACUGAGAUACGGCCCAGACUCCUACGGGAGGCAGCAGUGGGGAAUAUUGCACAAUGGGCGGAAGCCUUAUGCAGCAACGCCGCGUGCGGGAUGACGGCCUUCGGGUUGUAAACCUCUUUCGCCUGUGACGAAGCGUGAGUGACGGUAAUGGGUAAAGAAGCACCGGCUAACUACGUG